Molecule: ribosomal RNA, 485 nt
Filed under: uncultured bacterium
Lineage: Bacteria
Description: partial 16S ribosomal RNA
Rfam family: Bacterial small subunit ribosomal RNA
Source: RNAcentral
AGUGAACGCUGGCGGCGUGCUUAACACAUGCAAGUCGAACGAGAACGGAAUAUAGCUUGCUAUAUUUGUCAGCUAAGUGGCGCACGGGUGAGUAAUGUAUAGAUAACCUGCCCUUAAGAAAGGAAUAACAGUUGGAAACGACUGCUAAUGCCCUAUAUGCCUUUAAUACAUAAGUAUGCAAGGGAAACGCUUUAGUGCUUAAGGAUGGGUCUGUAUGGUAUCAGCUUGUUGGUGAGGUAAUGGCUCACCAAGGCUAUGACGCCUAACUGGUUUGAGAGGAUGAUAAGUCACACUGGAACUGAGACACGGUCCAGGCUCCUACGGGAGGCAGCAGUGGGGAAUAUUGCACAAUGGACGAAAGUCUGAUGCAGCAACGCCGCGUGGAGGAUGACACAUUUCGGUGCGUAAACUCCUUUUAUAUAGGAAGAUAAUGACGGUACUAUAUGAAUAAGCACCGGCUAACUCCGUGCCAGCAGCCGCCGUAA